This 451-nucleotide ribosomal RNA is filed under the name uncultured bacterium. Its description in RNAcentral is "partial 16S ribosomal RNA". It matches the Rfam family "Bacterial small subunit ribosomal RNA", at positions 29 to 523 of the family's 1533-position model. The record is from RNAcentral.
AACGAACACUGGCGGCAUGCCUAACACAUGCAAGUCGAACGCCCGUAGCAAUACGGGAGUGGCAGACGGGUGCAUAACACGUGGGAACCUACCCUAGGGUUCGGAAUAACCGCGGGAAACUGCGGCUAAUACCGGAUACGUCCUCUGGGGGAAAGAUUUAUCGCCCUUGGAGGGGCCCGCGUCGGAUUAGCUAGUUGGUGAGGUAACGGCUCACCAAGGCGACGAUCCGUAGCUGAUUUGAGAGGAUGAUCAGCCACACUGGAACUGAGACACGGUCCAGACUCCUACGGGAGGCAGCAGUGGGGAAUAUUGGACAAUGGGCGCAAGCCUGAUCCAGCAAUGCCGCGUGGGUGAUGAAGGCCUUCGGGUUGUAAAGCCCUUUUGGCAGGGACGAUGAUGACGGUACCUGCAGAAUAAGCCCCGGCUAACUUCGUGCCAGCCGCCGCGGUAA